UCAAUACCGAUAGGUUUCAUCUUCAUUACCCGUAUGCUGCGCGGAGGUAUUGUGGUAUCCUGGUGACACGAGAUGUGGUCGCUGACUGAUGGGAUUUGGUCCGAGGACGAAGUCAUUGGAUCGAUAUUAGAUCUGCCGUCUUUGGUGAUCUGAGCAGACGAUAUCUAGCUGCCAGGACGUGCACGCCUCUUCUUCUGUUCAAAGGCGUAGUUGCGGAUUUUCUGGGAUCUAACUAGAUGAGAUAUUGAAAUACUGUCGGGAGAUAGUUUUUGACACUUGUGUGAUAAUACCAUAUCGCAAGACAAAGAUAGAUCUCCCGAUUUGGCGGAUUCCAGGAUUCAGCACAGAGAUAUUACAGAAUUAUUC
Lineus longissimus is the source of this 366-nucleotide long non-coding RNA. RefSeq lists it as uncharacterized. The record is from RefSeq and is a predicted model, not a curated record. The transcript has 3 exons. Lineage: Eukaryota; Metazoa; Nemertea; Pilidiophora; Heteronemertea; Lineidae.